Molecule: small nuclear RNA, 104 nt
Filed under: Tupaia belangeri chinensis (Chinese tree shrew)
Lineage: Eukaryota; Metazoa; Chordata; Mammalia; Scandentia; Tupaiidae
Source: RNAcentral
GUGCUCGCUUCAGCAGCACAUAUACUAAAAUUGGAACGGAAUAGAGAUUAGCAUGGCCCCUGCGCAAGGAUGACAUGCAAACUUGUGAAGCGUUCCAUAUUUUU